This 798-nucleotide ribosomal RNA is filed under the name Avelona ligra. Its description in RNAcentral is "partial large subunit ribosomal RNA". The stretch from base 419 to 798 matches the Rfam family "Eukaryotic large subunit ribosomal RNA", at positions 665 to 1013 of the family's 3401-position model. The record is from RNAcentral. Lineage: Eukaryota; Metazoa; Annelida; Clitellata; Crassiclitellata; Lumbricidae.
UGAAACCGACUAGAGGCAAACGGAGAGGGCCCUAUGGUCCGCCCGUCGGAUUCAGUCCGCCUGCGCGGCGGCGGCGCCGGUGGUGCAUCCCUCGCGGGAGCGUCCCGGCGCCNCGCACGCCGUGCGGCGACCGUACUUUCCGCGGGCGGAGGGCGACGACGGGUUUCGCGGCGGCGAGAAACUCGCGGGCAAGGUAACCUCCGUUUCUGGCGCAGGAGGAUACAGACNCGGUGAGGGCCGGCCCGCCGGCGGACCGAGGAAGACCGUCGGACCGUCCGUCGUGUGCACGCGUUCGACUCGGGGGGACUGGUUCCAGUCCCCCCGGACCGCGCGCGCGCACCGGCGGGACGCCCCGGCGCGGCGCUCGGCGUCGGUGGUGAAACGGCCGGCAACCUGUCCGACCCGUCUUGAAACACGGACCAAGGAGUCUAACAUGCGCGCGAGUCGCUCGGCGCUACGAAACCCGAAGGCGCAAUGAAAGUGAAGGCCCGGCCCCCGUCCGGCUUGGGUGGGAUCCGGGCGGUCUCGGCCGUUCGGCCACCACCGGCCCGUCUCGAUCGCCGCGUCGAUGAGGCGGAGCAAGAGCGUACACGUUGGGACCCGAAAGAUGGUGAACUAUGCCCGAGUAGGGCGAAGCCAGAGGAAACUCUGGUGGAGGUACGUAGCGAUUCUGACGUGCAAAUCGAUCGUCAAACGUGGGUAUAGGGGCGAAAGACUAAUCGAACCAUUUAGUAGCUGGUUCCUGUCGAAGUUUCCCUCAGGAUAGCUGGCGCUCGUCAUGCGACUCGCUCGAUGGGU